Molecule: non-coding RNA, 31 nt
Filed under: Rattus norvegicus (Norway rat)
Lineage: Eukaryota; Metazoa; Chordata; Mammalia; Rodentia; Muridae
Source: RNAcentral
UGGGCUAGCCACUACCGUAAGAAGUCCCACU